GCAGAUUGUCCACAAACACAAGGUUACGCGUCUUGUUAUUCAAACAAGCUCUUUUGAAUGGCAGUUGCUCCUCAAAUCUAUCUUUGAUAUUGGGCCAAAGAUCACUCACAUCUUCAACUGCAAUUACGAUUUGAUCACAAUAAUUCUUGAUUGUCUGAAACUGAGCUAAAUAGUUCGCCAUUUCUCGAUCUAUAGAUUUCCUCGAUAAUCCAUAGAUCGAUACACACACAGUUUUAUAUUAUAUGAAUGUAGAGAGAGAGAGAGAGAGAGAGAG
This 274-nucleotide unclassified non-coding RNA is filed under the name Hevea brasiliensis (rubber tree). The record is from RNAcentral. Lineage: Eukaryota; Viridiplantae; Streptophyta; Magnoliopsida; Malpighiales; Euphorbiaceae.